This 1881-nucleotide ribosomal RNA is filed under the name seawater metagenome. RNAcentral describes it as "bacterial LSU rRNA". It matches the Rfam family "Bacterial large subunit ribosomal RNA", at positions 599 to 2467 of the family's 2925-position model. The record is from RNAcentral.
GCGUACCUUUUGUAUAAUGGGUCAGCGACUUAAUUUCAGUAGCGAGGUUAACCGUUUAGGGGAGCCGUAGGGAAACCGAGUCUUAAUAGGGCGUAUAGUUGCUGGGAUUAGACCCGAAACCGGGCGAUCUAUCCAUGGGCAGGUUGAAGAUGCGGUAACACGCAUUGGAGGACCGAACCGACUACCGUUGAAAAGUUAGCGGAUGACCUGUGGAUCGGAGUGAAAGGCUAAUCAAGCUCGGAGAUAGCUGGUUCUCCCCGAAAGCUAUUUAGGUAGCGCCUCGGACGAAUACCACUGGGGGUAGAGCACUGUUUCGGCUAGGGGGUCAUCCCGACUUACCAAACCGAUGCAAACUCCGAAUACCAGUGAGUACUAUCCGGGAGACACACGGCGGGUGCUAACGUCCGUCGUGAAGAGGGAAACAACCCAGACCGCCAGCUAAGGUCCCCAAAUUCCAGUUAAGUGGGAAACGAUGUGGGAAGGCUCAGACAGCUAGGAGGUUGGCUUAGAAGCAGCCACCCUUUAAAGAAAGCGUAAUAGCUCACUAGUCGAGUCGGCCUGCGCGGAAGAUGUAACGGGGCUCAAACUGGAUACCGAAGCUGCGGCUGCAUACUAUGUAUGCGGGGUAGGGGAGCGUUGUGUAAGUCUGUGAAGGUGUGUUGAGAAGCAUGCUGGAGAUAUCACAAGUGCGAAUGCUGACGUGAGUAACGAUAAUGGGAGUGAAAAACUCCCACGCCGAAAGACCAAGGUUUCCUGCGCAACGCUAAUCGGCGCAGGGUGAGUCGGCCCCUAAGGCGAGGCAGAAAUGCGUAGCUGAUGGGAAACAGGUUAAUAUUCCUGUACUUCUUAUAACUGCGAUGGAGAGACGGAGAAGGCUAUGCCUACCGGGCGUUGGUUGUCCCGGGGAAAGGCUGUAGGCUGAGGUGUUAGGCAAAUCCGGCACCUUAAGGCUGAGAGUCGAGACCACUGGUCCUUUGUGACCGGGAAGUGGUUGAUGCCAUGCUUCCAGGAAAAUCUUCUAAGCUUCAGGUUAUAAGGAACCGUACCCCAAACCGACACAGGUGGUUGGGAUGAGUAUUCUAAGGCGCUUGAGAGAACUCGGGUGAAGGAACUAGGCAAAGUGGUACCGUAACUUCGGGAGAAGGUACGCCGCUGACGGUGAUGAGACUUGCUCUCUGAGCUAUCGGCGGUCGCAGUGAAAAGGCCCCUGCAACUGUUUAUUAAAAACACAGCACUCUGCAAACGCGUAAGCGGACGUAUAGGGUGUGACGCCUGCCCGGUGCCGGAAGGUUAAUUGAUGGGGUUAGCUUCGGCGAAGCUCUUGAUCGAAGCCCCGGUAAACGGCGGCCGUAACUAUAACGGUCCUAAGGUAGCGAAAUUCCUUGUCGGGUAAGUUCCGACCUGCACGAAUGGCGUAAUGAUGGGGGCGCUGUCUCCACCCGAGACUCAGUGAAAUCGAAAUCGCAGUGAAGAUGCUGUGUACCCGCGGCUAGACGGAAAGACCCCGUGAACCUUUACUAUAGCUUCACAGUGGACUUUGAACCUGUUUGUGUAGGAUAGCUGGGAGACUUUGAAGCAGUGACGCUAGUCAUUGUGGAGUCGUCCUUGAAAUACCAGCCUGGCAUGUUUGAGGUUCUAACCUGGGUCCCUUAUCGGGAUCGGGGACAUUGUGUGGUGGGUAGUUUGACUGGGGCGGUCUCCUCCCAAAGAGUAACGGAGGAGCACAAAGGUACCCUCAGCACGGUCGGACAUCGUGCAACGAGCGUAAAGGUAGAAGGGUGCUUGACUGCGAGACUUACAAGUCGAGCAGGUGCGAAAGCAGGUCUUAGUGAUCCGGUGGUUCUGUAUGGAAGGGCCAUCGCUCAACGGAUAAAAGGUACU